GAUCAUGGCUCAGAUUGAACGCUGGCGGCAGGCCUAACACAUGCAAGUCGAACGGUAACAGGGAUCAGCUUGCUGAUUCGCUGACGAGUGGCGGACGGGUGAGUAAUGUCUGGGAAACUGCCUGAUGGAGGGGGAUAACUACUGGAAACGGUAGCUAAUACCGCAUAACGUCGCAAGACCAAAGAGGGGGGACCUUCGGGCCUCUUGCCAUCGGAUGUGCCCAGAUGGGAUUAGCUAG
RNAcentral lists this ribosomal RNA (238 nucleotides) under uncultured bacterium. RNAcentral's name for it is "partial 16S ribosomal RNA". It matches the Rfam family "Bacterial small subunit ribosomal RNA", at positions 15 to 248 of the family's 1533-position model. The record is from RNAcentral.